This 780-nucleotide long non-coding RNA is filed under the name Arabidopsis lyrata. RNAcentral's name for it is "long non-coding RNA (ALYR_LNC002108)". The record is from RNAcentral. Lineage: Eukaryota; Viridiplantae; Streptophyta; Magnoliopsida; Brassicales; Brassicaceae.
UACCAGAUUAAAUUGUUAACUAUUACCAGGAGAAAUCGAUGCUAUCAGAUUAAGUUCUUAACUAUUACCAGGAGAAAUCGAUGCAAGUACCAUCUCUGUUCGACUGAUCUUCAAGCUAAAAUCUUUUUCCAGCUUUUUUUAAUUUAUUUUUAUUCUGGUUUCUGACCCUUAACGCUAAAAAUUCGCUUCAGAUUUUGAACAAUGAGGUUGAUAAGUUCAUUCUUUAGGGUUCAUCAUCAUCGUCCUGGUAAGUCUUUGUAUUGCUCAUGUGAUAAUUUUGAUUGAUUGAGAGGAAAGAAGGAUAAAAAGAGUGAACUUUGGGUUUAGGUUGCAGAGGAUUCCAAAAGUGGUUGAUUUUAAACUCUAGAGGACGAGAAUGAACUCAAAGAUUGUGAUCUAUAUCGGUUCAUGGAGCCUGAGAGAACAAUUUUGCAGCACAGUUUGGAUUCAAUGUACUUUACUCUAUUUCAUGUUUGGAUAAAGAGUCCUUGUGAAAAGCUUUUCUUUAUGUAUAGAGAAGAGAAAGACUUUACUUUUGCAGAUUACAGAGAUUCCAGAACGAUGCAGUUGAUGAAGAAAGCUAGAAAGCAGAAUAACACUAGAGUGGAAGGAAGAGACCUUGUGAGAGGUUACAUUUCUUCACUGUUUUCAUAGUUAUUAAGAUCUUGGCACAAUUUGCUGAUGAGCCAUGUCGAAUGUUGCAUGAAGACCAAGCAGGAAAUAGUAUAGUAACAUGGCUAAAGUGCAAACCCCAAACCUUACAAAAGCCAUUGCUCCCAA